Long non-coding RNA from Nerophis ophidion (straightnose pipefish), 908 nucleotides. RefSeq lists it as uncharacterized. The transcript is spliced from 3 exons. The record is from RefSeq and is a predicted model, not a curated record. Lineage: Eukaryota; Metazoa; Chordata; Actinopteri; Syngnathiformes; Syngnathidae.
UAAUUUAAAAGGCCACUCUGAAAUGUGCAGUUUUAUCACACAGCACAAUGCCACAGAUGUUGCAAGUUUUGAGGGAGCGUGCAGUUGGCAUGCUGACUGCUGGAAUGUUGACGGGAGCUGUUGUCCUUAAAUUGAAUGUUAAUUUAUCUUCCAAAAGUCGUCUCGAAAUGUGAUUCAGAGCAUUUGGCAGUACAUCCAACCGGCCUCACAACUGCAGACCACCUGUAACAACACCAGCCCAGGACCUCCACAUCCGGGAGGUGCACCUCCAUUAUCAUCUGAGACCAGCCAUCCUGACAGCUGCUGCAACAAGUGGGUCUCGACCUGACUGCAGUUUGUCAUCGUAACUGACUUAAGUGGGCAAAUGCUCACAUUUGAUGGUGUGUGGCACAUUGGAGAUGUGUUCUCUUCACGGAGGAAUCCUGGUCUUCACUGUACUGGGCAGAUGACAGAGAGCGCCAUGUGGGAAAACGGUUGGCUGAUGUCAACGUUGUGAAUCGAGUGGCCCAAAGAGGGUUUGGGGUUAUGAGAUACCGUGUUGAGAUCCUGAAGCCCAAUGUUGUGCCAUUCACCCAAGACCACCGCCUCAUGUUGCAGCAUAACAAUGCACGGCCCCAUGUUACAAGAAUCUGUACACACUUCCCGGGAGCUGUAAACAUCUUAGUUCUUGCAUGGCCAGCAUACUCACUGGACAUGUCACCCAUUGAGCAUGUUUGGGAUGCUGGGAAUCAGCGUGUUACAGUUCCUGCCAAUAUCCAGCAACUUCCCACAGCCAUUGAAGAGGAGUGGACCAACUUUCCACAGGCCACAAUCAAUAACCUGAUCAACUCUAUGCAAAGGAGAUGUGUUGCACUGCGUGAGGAAAAUGGUGGUCACACCAGAUACUCACUGCUUUUCUGACCCCCCCA